AGAAUCAACGCUGGCGGCGUGCCUCAGACAUGCAAGUCGAACGCGAAAGCCCCCUUCGGGGGGCAAGUAGAGUGGCGCACGGGUGAGUAACACGUAGGUAAUCUACCUUUGGAUGGGGAAUAACAACCGGAAACGGUUGCUAAUACCGCAUAAUGCAGCGGCACCUAAUGGUGACAGUUGUUAAAGCGGGGGAUCGAAAGACCUCGCGUCUGAAGAGGAGCCUGCGGCGGAUUAGCUAGUUGGUAGGGUAACGGCCUACCAAGGCUACGAUCCGUAGCCGGCCUGAGAGGGCGGUCGGCCACGACUGACACUGACAUACGGGUCAGACUCUACGGGAGCAGCAGUCGGGAAUUUUGGG
This 358-nucleotide ribosomal RNA is filed under the name uncultured soil bacterium. Its description in RNAcentral is "bacterial SSU rRNA". It matches the Rfam family "Bacterial small subunit ribosomal RNA", at positions 26 to 368 of the family's 1533-position model. The record is from RNAcentral.